Molecule: ribosomal RNA, 497 nt
Filed under: uncultured bacterium
Lineage: Bacteria
Description: partial 16S ribosomal RNA
Rfam family: Bacterial small subunit ribosomal RNA
Source: RNAcentral
GAUGAACGCUGGCGGCGUGCCUAAUACAUGCAAGUCGAGCGAACAGACGAGGAGCUUGCUCCUCUGACGUUAGCGGCGGACGGGUGAGUAACAUGUGGAUACCCUACCUAUAAGACUGGGAUAACUUCGGGAAACCGGAGCUAAUACCGGAUAAUAUAUUCAACCGCAUGGUUCAAUAGUGAAAGACGGUUUUGCUGUCACUUAUAGAUGGAUCCGCGCCGCAUUAGCUAGUUGGUAAGGUAACGGCUUACCAAGGCAACGAUGCGUAGCCGACCUGAGAGGGGGAUCGGCCACACUGGAACUGAGACACGGUCCAGACUCCUACGGGAGGCAGCAGUAGGGAAUCGUCCGCAAUGGGCGAAAGCCUGACGGAGCAACGCCGCGUGAGUGAUGAAGGGCUUCGGAUCGGAAAACGCUGUUAUGAGGGAAGAACAAAUGUGUAAGUAACUAUGCACGUCUUGACGGUACCUAAUCAGAAAGCCACGGCUAACUACGUG